UACAGAGGUGGCAAGCGUUGUUCGGAAUUACUGGGCGUAAAGGGCGAGUAGGCGGCCAUCUAAGUCAGACGUGAAAUCCCCCGGCUUAACCUGGGAACUGCGUCUGAUACUGGACGGCUUGAGUUUGGGAGAGGGAUGCAGAAUUCCAGGUGUAGCGGUGAAAUGCGUAGAUAUCAGGAGGAAUACCGAUGGCGAAGGCAGGUCUCUGGGCUAUAACUGACGCUCAUGCACGAAAGCGUGGGGAGCAAACAGG
This 253-nucleotide ribosomal RNA is filed under the name uncultured bacterium. Its description in RNAcentral is "partial 16S ribosomal RNA". It matches the Rfam family "Bacterial small subunit ribosomal RNA", at positions 524 to 776 of the family's 1533-position model. The record is from RNAcentral.